This is a small nuclear RNA of Cebus imitator (Panamanian white-faced capuchin), 104 nucleotides long. The record is from Ensembl. Lineage: Eukaryota; Metazoa; Chordata; Mammalia; Primates; Cebidae.
GAGCUCACUUUGGUAGCACAUAUGCUAAAGUUAGAAUGAUGCAGUGAUUAGCAUGGUCCCUGAGCAAAGAUAACAUACACAUUUGUGAAGUGAAAGUAAAUGAU